Sarcophilus harrisii (Tasmanian devil) is the source of this 72-nucleotide non-coding RNA. Lineage: Eukaryota; Metazoa; Chordata; Mammalia; Dasyuromorphia; Dasyuridae. The record is from Rfam.
UGGUACAAACCCGUAGAUCCGAUCUUGUGGUGAAAUGGAUUUCACAAGCUCGUCUCUUUGGGUCUGUGUCAG